RNAcentral lists this ribosomal RNA (600 nucleotides) under uncultured bacterium. RNAcentral describes it as "bacterial SSU rRNA". It matches the Rfam family "Bacterial small subunit ribosomal RNA", at positions 731 to 1338 of the family's 1533-position model. The record is from RNAcentral.
GGACUGUAACUGACGCUGAGGCGCGAAAGUGUGGGGAGCAAACAGGAUUAGAUACCCUGGUAGUCCACACUGUAAACGAUGAGUGCUAGGUGUAGGAGGUAUCGACCCCUUCUGUGCCGCAGUUAACACAAUAAGCACUCCGCCUGGGGAGUACGGCCGCAAGGUUGAAACUCAAAGGAAUUGACGGGGGCCCGCACAAGCAGCGGAGCAUGUGGUUUAAUUCGACGCAACGCGAAGAACCUUACCAGGUCUUGACAUCCAAUUAAGCCUGUAGAGAUACAGGGUGUGCUUGCACAAAUUGAGACAGGUGGUGCAUGGUUGUCGUCAGCUCGUGUCGUGAGAUGUUGGGUUAAGUCCCGCAACGAGCGCAACCCUUGCUAUUAGUUGCUACGCAAGAGCACUCUAAUAGGACUGCCGUUGACAAAACGGAGGAAGGUGGGGACGACGUCAAAUCAUCAUGCCCCUUAUGACCUGGGCUACACACGUACUACAAUGGCCAUCAACAGAGGGAAGCAAAACAGCGAUGUGGAGCAAACCCCUAAAAAUGGUCUCAGUUCAGAUUGCAGGCUGCAACCCGCCUGCAUGAAGUCGGAAUGCUAG